AGACUGGAGAUAAACGCUUGAGACACCAAGUUCAGGAUGGAGAACAAAAGGCAAAAGACUCUAAUCACUCGAGAGCCUCCGAUCGUCUAUAUUAUUAUGGCACUCUACAGGCCAGAGGGUUCACCUGAUAUCUAGAUAAUGCACGUAGAGCGACAGAAUUGAUAAAUGUAAAGGUGUGGCCAUGAGGUGCACUCAUCUUUCUUAGUUGCGGGGAGAAGAAGCUAUAAGCCAAGAACUUUGGAGUAGAAAGCCUCUGGCAGCUCCGGACCAACAUAUCUCGAGGUACCUUGUUCAUGAAAAGAACCGCACAACUGGAGGAAGGGCAGAAAGUUUGUAUGGUUUGUGUCUUGUUUCAGUGCUUGUAUGUUCUUCAUGUUUGUGAAUCCCAUAAAAUUCAGUCAGAAAAUGUUCAGUAGGUGUAACAUGUCAAAUGUAUAUCUCAAUUAGUAAAUGUCUUGCCUCAAGAUAGGGCA
This is a long non-coding RNA of Hyla sarda, 473 nucleotides long. RefSeq lists it as uncharacterized. Lineage: Eukaryota; Metazoa; Chordata; Amphibia; Anura; Hylidae. The transcript has 3 exons. The record is from RefSeq and is a predicted model, not a curated record.